RNAcentral lists this long non-coding RNA (669 nucleotides) under Equus caballus (horse). Its description in RNAcentral is "lncRNA (ENSECAG00000047422.1)". Lineage: Eukaryota; Metazoa; Chordata; Mammalia; Perissodactyla; Equidae. The record is from RNAcentral.
GAUUAUGUGUGCUAAAGAGGAGUAGGGUAAUAGAAAUAUUCCAAUUCAAUUUCGUCACCAGAUUUCAUUAUAGUUAUUUUUAAAAUCAGAAUUUUCUCACCACUGAUUUUCCCUUUUUUUCCUUUUUUUGAGGAAGAUCAGCCCUGAGCGAACAUCUGCUGCCAAUCUGCCUCUUUUUGCUGAGGAAGACUGGCCCUGAGCUAACAUCAGUGCCCAUCUUCUUCUACUUUAUAUGUGGGACGCCUGCCACAGCAUGGCUUGACAAGCAGUGCAUUGGUCCCCACCUGGGAUUCAAACUGGUGAACCCCCGGCCUCAGAAGCGGAACAUACUUUCGUCACUUUAUACUGGACUAUUACAUUACUCUUCAAGUCUCUAAUCAUCUUCUACACUGCCACUUUGAUCCUGCUUCUCCCUCCCCUCAGAGCUUCCUGUGGCUCCCUCUUACCUCUCAGAUCAAGUUCACACUCUGUAGUCUGUCAGGUAAGGCCUCCCACAGAAGGCUCCAGCCUGCCUUUAUUUACUCUGAAGUGAUUGUGAUAUCUCCUUUGCCUGAAGUGCCCUUCUUCCAUUUUUCUGUGAAUCCAGUUUCAACUGUCUGUUGAGGACCAACUGAACUCCACUACAACAGAGCUUUUCCUGAGCUCAGGAUGGGAGCGAUUUCUCCUUCC